ACCCUUGAGGUCGCUUCAGGUCUACAUCCUGAGGUUAAUAACCACUAACCCUGACCUAAACUCCUAAGGGGAAGGUAGCAGGUUCGAGUCCUGCCGGGGGUACCA
Molecule: transfer RNA, 105 nt
Filed under: Marinobacter similis
Lineage: Bacteria; Pseudomonadati; Pseudomonadota; Gammaproteobacteria; Pseudomonadales; Marinobacteraceae
Description: tRNA-Und (NNN) (tRNA-Und-NNN-1-1)
Source: RNAcentral